This 71-nucleotide transfer RNA is filed under the name Dryobates pubescens (Downy woodpecker). RNAcentral's name for it is "Picoides pubescens (downy woodpecker) tRNA". It matches the Rfam family "tRNA". From Rfam's summary of the family: Transfer RNA (tRNA) molecules are approximately 80 nucleotides in length. Their secondary structure includes four short double-helical elements and three loops (D, anti-codon, and T loops). Further hydrogen bonds mediate the characteristic L-shaped molecular structure. tRNAs have two regions of fundamental functional importance: the anti-codon, which is responsible for specific mRNA codon recognition, and the 3' end, to which the tRNAs corresponding amino acid is attached (by aminoacyl-tRNA synthetases). tRNAs cope with the degeneracy of the genetic code in two manners: having more than one tRNA (with a specific anti-codon) for a particular amino acid; and 'wobble' base-pairing, i.e. permitting non-standard base-pairing at the 3rd anti-codon position. Lineage: Eukaryota; Metazoa; Chordata; Aves; Piciformes; Picidae. The record is from Rfam by way of RNAcentral.
GGAAAAACAGCUUAGUGGUUAGAGCACUCCUCUAGAAAGGGAGAGGAGUGCAGGUUGGAUUCUUGUUUUCA